CCAGCUCGGACUGGUCCGCCGGGCCCAAGGGCUCUGGUGCCUUCUGGAAAGCGCUGGCUGGGACUUCACCCUCCUCCUGCAUGUGACGGACACAGCACUGAUCCUGGCAGCUCCUUACCCCCAGCAGCCCGAAACUCACUCCUUAAUUACACAAGGGAAACCUUUUACCUCCGCAGCCAGAGUCUGGGGGGAAAGGCAGGCGUGGGAAGCACUAACUCCCUCUCUGGAUAUCUGGAACAAGGAGGACCUUAAACUUAACAAUAAAGCCAAUGAUGGUUCUACCAGUCUCCCCAAAGCCUCAAGUUUAAAAGCCAUAUGAACUGGCUGAUAGUGGAAAAUGGAAGCCAUGAGGAAAUCAGAUUAGAGUACUACCUGGUGAAGCCUGGAGGACCUACCAAGAAAAGCAAACUUGGAUCUUUGCAAGGUUAGAAGAACGAAUGGGAUCCAAGAAAAAGACUGGUCAUAUUCAACGGCUAAGAGCGUUGGAGAAGGCCUGUGGAGUCUCAGCAGGUCAGGUCCAUGACUCAUGAGUAGACACCUGUGUUUCUACUGCCUGGUGCCAUAAUCAUAAACAAGAGUAAUCAGCAAAUGCCUUUCCUUUCUCCUGCUGAUGUUUUGCCCGUACUCAGACCCCUUGACUUCUUAGCUUCUACCCAAAGUGAGCUUGUCAUCAAAGUUCUCCAAAAAUCUGCAGUGUUCUCUUGAGCAAAUCUGCUUCCAAGACUAUAGCGCUCUGAUGCAUUGAGAUGACAGCAAGCGGCAUUUUUCAGUCCUGUUACCCAUAUGGCUGCUACCACUGCAUCCUGUUAAAUAAUGUCUUCAACCCAAGAAACCUGCUUCCUAGGGAAGUUUCUCUCUCUCUGCAUUUGUUCCCACUAGAGAAUGACCAUCACCAGAUUCCUGAACUGAAAAUGCUGUUGACACUUUGGAAACUCGGGCCUCUAUUAAUAGGGUGACCAACUAUCCUGGUUUACCUUGAGUACAGGAUUUUCAAUGCUAAAACCAGAAAAACCAGGAUGGUUGGUCAUCUGCCUCAGACCUAAUAAAUACCAGUCAAUAAUUCAGCCAUGAGCUUUCUUAAGACACUGUCUUUUCUUGACUGUUGAAUAGUCUAGGACUUGAGUAGCAGCUCUUUCUGCUACUGGACACUUGUUUUACUACCCUAUUUCUCUAGAUUUUAUUUUGUGGCUAAUAAUUAAGACAUAAAAUCAUGGGUUCUGGUUAUGCCAAAGCACUCACUCUUCAAAAGUUUCCAUCCAGAGUUGGAUAAUCCCACACAGAAGGUGUUCUUUCAACAGACCAGCAUCCAAUAGACCCAAUGCAGCAUUUUUCUUCCUGGUUCCACAUUAAUACAUCCUAUCUCUGCUAUGCUUAGGUCCCUGAUUUAUAAAUAUUUCAGACAUAUUUUCUCAGGACACAGGGAGUACUUAAACUUCCACAUAGCAGAGAUACGACAUACAAUAAGCUGUUAUCUGGAAACUCCUAGUGAUGCUUUGAGUACUUUACAGUAAUCUUUCUGGUCUUCCUCUCAACCCCAUUAAGUUUUUCUGUAACUAGCUGGUGUAUCUGUCUCCAUCUUUAAGGAAUAAGUCCCUAUUUGCUCAUGCUAUAAUCUCCCUCAUGCUCUCCGUCCCUCCUUCCCUCUCCUUCUCUCUUUCUGUCUCUCUCUCUCUCCACCCUGAUUGUGAGAUGCUACACCUUAAUAGUUUUCUAUACCUAGAUCCCUUUUGAAGGAGUAAUUUCAGCCAUCACUGAAAUCUAUGCUUUUUUAUCUUGUUAGAUUUAUUUAGGACCUAAUGACUGUUUCUGAGCUAAUAAUAACGCAAUCAGCUCAUAUUUUUCUGAUACUCUAAGAGCAAUUACAUCUAGUUGCAUCACCUUUUCCUUUUUUAUUCAUGUAUCUUAGGCUUCUCAAGAUAUGAGACUAGCACUUGAGCCUGAGAUAAGCCUUAAGAAUUCCAGGAUAGUCUCUCCAUAGUUCCCUUUCUUGGAUAAAGUCAUUUCAAAACAUCUUAGUGGAUCAGAUUUGGAGCAGCCUACUUACACUGGUGAAUACCACAACUAAUAAAUAAUUGUUCUGCACCCCACCCACAUCUAAAGGAUUCAGGGUGUCUUUUACAGAUAUAGGACUCUCCUUUCUCUGUUUCUCUUCUCUCUCUUCUCCUUGAUUAAAGCUUUGCUUCAGCUGUCCCUGCUCACUACGGCACUGCACCUCACCAGCAUCUUCAUGGCCCUCACAUGGCUCAUGUGCAUAUCCUAACUCUGAUACUAAGGGAGGAGACCACCCCUCAUAUUGUCUUAUGCCCAAUUUCUGCCUCCAAAGAAAGAAGAAGUAAAAACUAAAAGGCAGAAAUGAAAUCCACAAGCAGACAGCCCGGCGCCACACCCUGGGCCUGGUAGUUAAAGAUCGACCCCUGACCUAAUCGGUUAUUUGCAUAAGAAAAGCACUGUGAAGAUCCCUGUCCUGUUCUGUUCCAUUCUAAUUACCGGUGUAUGCAGCCCCCAGUCAUGUACCCCUGCUUGCUCAAUCGAUCACGACCCUCUCACGUGGACCCCCUUAGAGUUGUGGGCCCUUAAAAGGGACAGGAAUUGCUCACUCGGGGAGCUUGGUUGUUGGAGAUGUGAGUCUUGCUAAAGCUCCCAGCCGAAUAAAGCCCUUCCUUCUUAACUCGGUGUCUGAGAGGUUUAGUCUGCAGCUUGUCCUGCUCUAAUACCUG
Molecule: long non-coding RNA, 2717 nt
Filed under: Homo sapiens (human)
Lineage: Eukaryota; Metazoa; Chordata; Mammalia; Primates; Hominidae
Description: HSALNT0361158
Source: RNAcentral